Gasterosteus aculeatus aculeatus (three-spined stickleback) is the source of this 278-nucleotide non-coding RNA. The record is from RefSeq and is a predicted model, not a curated record. Lineage: Eukaryota; Metazoa; Chordata; Actinopteri; Perciformes; Gasterosteidae.
UAAUCGUACAAAUGCAUAUAGAGGUUUCCUGCUAAAUCAUUAAUGUGUUUUUGUGCGUAUAAACCCAUGCAACAAGGUGACUGGUGGAUGCAGCCUGUUAACAGCACAGAGAGAAACUACAGAGACCGAGAUGUGAACAGAUAGCAAGAACUAGUUCUAGAAGUGAACUACGACGUUUGAUGAAACAGAAGCAACUGAAGAAAGGGCCGUGGUCCAAAUAAAGAGAUGUACACCAUGUUGGACCUCCAAACAGCCCUCAAGAAGUGAAGUUAAUGUGA